CCUACGGGCGGCUGCAGUGGGGAAUAUUGGACAAUGGGGGCAACCCUGGUCCAGCCAUGCCGCGUGUGUGAAGAAGGCCCUCGGGUUGUAAAGCACUUUCAGUGAGGAAGAACGCCUGGUGGUUAAUACCCAUCAGGAAAGACAUCACUCACAGAAGAAGCACCGGCUAACUCCGUGCCAGCAGCCGCGGUAAUACGGAGGGUGCGAGCGUUAAUCGGAAUUACUGGGCGUAAAGCGCGCGUAGGUGGCUUGAUAAGCCGGUUGUGAAAGCCCCGGGCUCAACCUGGGAACGGCAUCCGGAACUGUCAAGCUAGAGUGCAGGAGAGGAAGGUAGAAUUCCCGGUGUAGCGGUGAAAUGCGUAGAGAUCGGGAGGAAUACCAGUGGCGAAGGCGGCCUUCUGGACUGAAACUGACACUGAGGUGCGAAAGCGUGGGUAGCAAACAGGAUUAGAUACCCUUGUAGUC
Molecule: ribosomal RNA, 465 nt
Filed under: Vreelandella stevensii
Lineage: Bacteria; Pseudomonadati; Pseudomonadota; Gammaproteobacteria; Oceanospirillales; Halomonadaceae
Description: partial 16S ribosomal RNA
Rfam family: Bacterial small subunit ribosomal RNA
Source: RNAcentral